Molecule: ribosomal RNA, 439 nt
Filed under: uncultured bacterium
Lineage: Bacteria
Description: bacterial SSU rRNA
Rfam family: Bacterial small subunit ribosomal RNA
Source: RNAcentral
AACGCGAAGAACCUUACCUGGUCUUGACAUCUACGGAGCCCUGCAGAGAUGCGGGGGUGCCUUCGGGAACCGUAAGACAGGUGCUGCAUGGCUGUCGUCAGCUCGUGUCGUGAGAUGUUGGGUUAAGUCCCGCAACGAGCGCAACCCUUGUCCUUAGUUGCCAGCAUUCAGUUGGGAACUCUAAGGAGACCGCCGGUGACAAACCGGAGGAAGGUGGGGAUGACGUCAAGUCAUCAUGGCCUUUAUGACCAGGGCUACACACGUGCUACAAUGGUGGUGACAGUGGGCAGCGAAGGCGCGAGCCGGAGCCAAUCCCCAAAAGCCAUCUCAGUUCAGAUUGUACCCUGCAACUCGGGUGCAUGAAGUUGGAAUCGCUAGUAAUCGUAGAUCAGCACGCUACGGUGAAUACGUUCCCGGGCCUUGUACACACCGACUGUAC